This 244-nucleotide ribosomal RNA is filed under the name uncultured bacterium. RNAcentral's name for it is "partial small subunit ribosomal RNA". It matches the Rfam family "Bacterial small subunit ribosomal RNA", at positions 26 to 285 of the family's 1533-position model. The record is from RNAcentral.
AGAAUCAACGCUGGCGGCGUGCCUAACACAUGCAAGUCGCACGAGAAAGUGGAGCAAUCCAUGAGUACAGUGGCGCACGGGUGAGUAACACGUGAAUGAUCUACCUCCGAGUGGGGAAUAACUGAGAGAAAUCUUAGCUAAUACCGCAUAAUACCCACGGGUCAAAGCAGCAAUGCGCUUGGAGAGGAGUUCGCGGCCGAUUAGCUAGUUGGCGGGUAAUGGCCCACCAAGGCGAUGAUCGGUA